This 466-nucleotide ribosomal RNA is filed under the name uncultured bacterium. RNAcentral's name for it is "bacterial SSU rRNA". It matches the Rfam family "Bacterial small subunit ribosomal RNA", at positions 330 to 795 of the family's 1533-position model. The record is from RNAcentral.
ACCAGACUCCUACGGGAGGCAGCAGUGAGGAAUAUUGGUCAAUGGGCUUACGCCUGAACCAGCCAAGCCGCGUGAGGGAUGAAGGUACAGAGUAUCGUAAACCUCUUUUGUCAGGGAACAAAGGCGGGGACGCGUCCCCGGAUGAGUGUACCUGAAGAAAAAGCAUCGGCUAACUCCGUGCCAGCAGCCGCGGUAAUACGGAGGAUGCGAGCGUUAUCCGGAUUUAUUGGGUUUAAAGGGUGCGCAGGCGGCCUGUUAAGUCAGCGGUAAAAGCCCGGGGCUCAACCCCGGUCCGCCGUUGAAACUGGCAGUCUCGAGUUGGAGAGAAGUAUGCGGAAUGCGCGGUGUAGCGGUGAAAUGCAUAGAUAUCGCGCAGAACUCCGAUUGCGAAGGCAGCAUGCCGGCUCCACACUGACGCUGAGGCACGAAAGCGUGGGUAUCGAACAGGAUUAGAUACCCGAGUAAC